Molecule: ribosomal RNA, 478 nt
Filed under: Fusarium oxysporum
Lineage: Eukaryota; Fungi; Ascomycota; Sordariomycetes; Hypocreales; Nectriaceae
Description: eukaryotic LSU rRNA
Rfam family: 5.8S ribosomal RNA (bases 125-278)
Source: RNAcentral
UGUGACAUACCACUUGUUGCCUCGGCGGAUCAGCCCGCUCCCGGUAAAACGGGACGGCCCGCCAGAGGACCCCUAAAACUCUGUUUCUAUAUGUAACUUCUGAGUAAAACCAUAAAUAAAUCAAAACUUUCAACAACGGAUCUCUUGGUUCUGGCAUCGAUGAAGAACGCAGCAAAAUGCGAUAAGUAAUGUGAAUUGCAGAAUUCAGUGAAUCAUCGAAUCUUUGAACGCACAUUGCGCCCGCCAGUAUUCUGGCGGGCAUGCCUGUUCGAGCGUCAUUUCAACCCUCAAGCACAGCUUGGUGUUGGGACUCGCGUUAAUUCGCGUUCCUCAAAUUGAUUGGCGGUCACGUCGAGCUUCCAUAGCGUAGUAGUAAAACCCUCGUUACUGGUAAUCGUCGCGGCCACGCCGUUAAACCCCAACUUCUGAAUGUUGACCUCGGAUCAGGUAGGAAUACCCGCUGAACUUAAGCAUAUCA